Molecule: transfer RNA, 77 nt
Filed under: Verrucomicrobiia bacterium
Lineage: Bacteria; Pseudomonadati; Verrucomicrobiota; Verrucomicrobiia
Description: tRNA-Arg
Rfam family: tRNA
About the family: Transfer RNA (tRNA) molecules are approximately 80 nucleotides in length. Their secondary structure includes four short double-helical elements and three loops (D, anti-codon, and T loops). Further hydrogen bonds mediate the characteristic L-shaped molecular structure. tRNAs have two regions of fundamental functional importance: the anti-codon, which is responsible for specific mRNA codon recognition, and the 3' end, to which the tRNAs corresponding amino acid is attached (by aminoacyl-tRNA synthetases). tRNAs cope with the degeneracy of the genetic code in two manners: having more than one tRNA (with a specific anti-codon) for a particular amino acid; and 'wobble' base-pairing, i.e. permitting non-standard base-pairing at the 3rd anti-codon position.
Source: RNAcentral
GCGCCCUUAGCUCAGCUGGAUAGAGCAACGGACUUCUAAUCCGUAGGUCGUGCGUUCGAGUCGCACAGGGCGUGCCA